Molecule: ribosomal RNA, 908 nt
Filed under: uncultured bacterium
Lineage: Bacteria
Description: bacterial SSU rRNA
Rfam family: Bacterial small subunit ribosomal RNA
Source: RNAcentral
AGAGUUUGAUCAUGGCUCAGGAUGAACGCUAGCGGGAGGCUUAACACAUGCAAGUCGAGGGGUAAGGAGAUAGCAAUAUUUCCCUAGACCGGCGCACGGGUGAGUAACGCGUAUGCAACCUGCCCUUUACAGGGGGAUAGCCCGGAGAAAUCCGGAUUAAUACCCCAUGGACCUGCAGUCUCGCAUGAGACAACAGGUAAAGCUGAGGCGGUAAAGGAUGGGCAUGCGUGACAUUAGCUAGUUGGCGGGGUAACGGCCCACCAAGGCUACGAUGUCUAGGGGUUCUGAGAGGAAGGUCCCCCACACUGGUACUGAGACACGGACCAGACUCCUACGGGAGGCAGCAGUGAGGAAUAUUGGUCAAUGGGCGCGAGCCUGAACCAGCCAUCCCGCGUGCAGGAAGAAGGCCCUAUGGGUUGUAAACUGCUUUUGUGCAGGAAUAAAUGUACCCUCGUGAGGGUAUUUGAAGGUACUGCCAGAAUAAGCACCGGCUAACUCCGUGCCAGCAGCCGCGGUAAUACGGAGGGUGCAAGCGUUAUCCGGAUUUAUUGGGUUUAAAGGGUGCGUAGGCGGUAUUUUAAGUCAGUGGUGAAAACUUGCAGCUUAACUGUAAGACUGCCAUUGAAACUGAAGUACUUGAGUUAUCUUGAGGUAGGCGGAAUGUGUAGUGUAGCGGUGAAAUGCUUAGAUAUUACACAGAACACCGAUUGCGAAGGCAGCUUACUAAGGAUACACUGACGCUCACGCACGAAAGCGUGGGGAUCGAACAGGAUUAGAUACCCUGGUAGUCCACGCCGUAAACGAUAAUAACUCGCUGUUGGCGAUGCACAGUCAGCGGCCUAGCGAAAGCGUUAAGUUAUCCACCUGGGGAGUACGCUCGCAAGAGUGAAACUUAAAUGAAUUGACGG